RNAcentral lists this ribosomal RNA (254 nucleotides) under uncultured bacterium. Its description in RNAcentral is "partial 16S ribosomal RNA". It matches the Rfam family "Bacterial small subunit ribosomal RNA", at positions 524 to 776 of the family's 1533-position model. The record is from RNAcentral.
UACGGGGGGAGCAAGCGUUGUUCGGAUUUACUGGGCGUAAAGGGCGCGUAGGCGGUCGUGACAAGUCACUUGUGAAAUCUCCGGGCUUAACUCGGAACGGUCAAGUGAUACUGUCGGACUAGAGUACAGAAGGGGCAACUGGAAUUCUCGGUGUAGCGGUGAAAUGCGUAGAUAUCGAGAGGAACACCUGCGGCGAAGGCGGGUUGCUGGGCUGAUACUGACGCUGAGGCGCGAAAGCAUGGGGAUCAAACAGG